Molecule: non-coding RNA, 101 nt
Organism: Paramarasmius palmivorus
Lineage: Eukaryota; Fungi; Basidiomycota; Agaricomycetes; Agaricales; Marasmiaceae
Source: the annotation of a GenBank genome assembly
ACACCGCUGGUGAAGUUGUUACCAUGGUUGCCUUCCAUAGGGAGGUCACUAGCUGGUGGAAAUCUCAGCAAGCGGCUCGGGUUCGAUUCCCGAACGGUGUA